AGGGCUCAGUAAACCAGUUUUAAUUUACUAGAGUUUUACGUUACGUACGUGGAUACCUGUGGUAAUUCUAGAGCUAAUACAUGCAAAAAAGUCCGGACCAGAAAUGGAAAGGACGCUUUUAUUAGAUCAAAACCAUUCGCCCGACUCGUUCGGGCGUUGUUUUGGUGAAUCUAGAUAACACAUAAGAUCGUACAGUCGCCGUACUGACGACAUCUCUUUCAAACGCCUGACUUAUCAGCUGUCGAUGGUAGACUCUGUGUCUACCAUGGCCCUCACGGGUAACGGGGAAUCAGGGUUCGAUUCCGGAGAGGGAGCCUGAGAAACGGCUACCACAUCCAAGGAAGGCAGCAGGCACGCAAAUUACCCACUCCCGGCACGGGGAGGUAGUGACAAAAAAUAACGAUACGGGACUCUAUUGAGGCCCCGUAAUCGGAAUGAGUACACUUUAAAUCCUUUAACAAGGAUCCAUUGGAGGGCAAGUCUGGUGCCAGCAGCCGCGGUAAUUCCAGCUCCAAUAGCGUAUAUUAAAGUUGUUGCGGUUAAAAAGCUCGUAGUUGGUUCUGCGUGCCGCGCUGUCGGUUCGCCGCCUGUCGGCGUAACUGGCAUGUCGCGGCAUGUCCUGUCGGUGGUGAACGAGAUCCCCGGUGCUAACUGAGACUUCCGGUCGAAGUAUUGUGCCGUGUGUGAUGUCGUUUGCCGAUCUCUCCUACUCCGGUGCUCUUAAACGAGUGUCGAGGUAGGCCGACACGUUCACUUUGAACAAAUUAGAGUGCUUAAAGCAGGCUAAAAUAUCUGCCUGAAUAGUGGUGCAUGGAAUGAUAAAAUAGGACCUCGGUUCUAUUUUGUUGGUUUUAGGAAUAUGAGGUAAUGAUCAAUGU
This 878-nucleotide ribosomal RNA is filed under the name Emesaya brevipennis. Its description in RNAcentral is "SSU rRNA". It matches the Rfam family "Eukaryotic small subunit ribosomal RNA", at positions 93 to 875 of the family's 1831-position model. The record is from RNAcentral. Lineage: Eukaryota; Metazoa; Arthropoda; Insecta; Hemiptera; Reduviidae.